AAUACAUGCAAGUCGAGCGGAAUGAUGAAGAAGCUUGCUUCUUCUGAUUUUAGCGGCGGACGGGUGAGUAACACGUGGGCAACCUACCUUGUAGAUUGGGAUAACUCCGGGAAACCGGGGCUAAUACCGAAUAAUCCAUUUUGCUUCAUGGCGAGAUGUUGAAAGACGGUUUCGGCUGUCACUACAAGAUGGGCCCGCGGCGCAUUAGCUAGUUGGUAGGGUAAUGGCCUACCAAGGCGACGAUGCGUAGCCGACCUGAGAGGGUGAUCGGCCACACUGGGACUGAGACACGGCCCAGACUCCUACGGGAGGCAGCAGUAGGGAAUCUUCCACAAUGGACGAAAGUCUGAUGGAGCAACGCCGCGUGAGUGAAGAAGGUUUUCGGAUCGUAAAACUCUGUUGUAAGGGAAGAACACGUACGAGAGUAACUGCUCGUACCUUGACGGUACCUUAUUAGAAAGCCACGGCUAACUACGUG
RNAcentral lists this ribosomal RNA (478 nucleotides) under uncultured bacterium. RNAcentral describes it as "bacterial SSU rRNA". It matches the Rfam family "Bacterial small subunit ribosomal RNA", at positions 50 to 507 of the family's 1533-position model. The record is from RNAcentral.